GCUCCGGUGGCCUAGUGGUUAGAGCGUCCGCCUCGGAUGCACGAGGUCGUGGGUUCGAUCCCCGGUCGAGUCA
Molecule: non-coding RNA, 73 nt
Organism: Potamilus streckersoni
Lineage: Eukaryota; Metazoa; Mollusca; Bivalvia; Unionida; Unionidae
Source: the annotation of a GenBank genome assembly